Molecule: ribosomal RNA, 630 nt
Filed under: Triticum aestivum (bread wheat)
Lineage: Eukaryota; Viridiplantae; Streptophyta; Magnoliopsida; Poales; Poaceae
Description: partial small subunit ribosomal RNA
Source: RNAcentral
AUGGGGAAGCGCAGCGCCCCCCGCUACCCGGAGGACGAGAACAAAGGCGGCGGCGUGUGCUGCUGCUUGUGCGGCUGCUGCUGCUUCCUCUUAGUCCUCGUUGCAUUAUUUGUCGGCUCGUCGGUCUACCUCGUCUACACCUUGAAGCCCAAGGCGCCGUCCUACUCCGUGAGCAAGAUGGCCGUCUCGAAGUUCGACUUCAGCUCCUCCGACCUCACGCUCUACACUAAGCUCGUCGCCACCGUCCGCGCCGAGAACCCCAACGACAAGAUCGGCAUCAAGUACGCGGACGGCUCCCGCACCGUCGUCUCCUACCGCGGCACGCCGCUGUGCUCCGGCAAACUCCCCACCUUCUUCCAGGGCCACAACAACGUCACCAUGCUGGAGAUCUCCAUGGAGGGGCGCCACGGGUUCGGGUCCGGCCUGCAGGAGGCGCUGGAGGAGAGCGAGAAGGCCGGCAACGUGCCGCUCGACGUGUACGUCACCGUGCCGGUGCAGCUGCUGCUGGAUACCUACGACUUGCCGCAGCUCAAGGUGAACGUGCACGCGGCUCUCGUCGUCGACAGCAUAUCGCCCAAGAAGCCGCCUACCAUCAAGUCGGCCACUUACCAGGGCAACGUAGAGUACUGA